UCUUCAAAAGUUUCACUGACGUGAACCUCACUUGUGGGUGCCAGGUUAUGACCACAUGCAUAGUUUCAUCUUCAUCUUAUGCAACAUUUGGGGUAAAAGGAAGGUUAUGUGGUAACCAGUUUAUGACUUGAACUAUAGGCAAAGAUUGACCAGGCCAAGCCCUGAGACACAGUGUUGAGAGCCAAGACAUAAAGUCGUGAAGAUUCAGGCCCAGAGCCCAGCAGGGCACAGGCUGGAGGGGUGAUGUGAUGUGAGUGAUCAGUAACACCAUGAAGACUCUGCUUCUGGGUCAGAAAUGCUUUUUUGUCCCUGUUUUGGAUUUUCCACCAUGAGCAGUUCGCAGGGAAUUGGAAAUCCUUGUCCUCGUGGUUCCUGGCUCAGCAGGACCCCUGUGGGGCCUCUCCCUCUCCUGGGAAAGAGACUGCUCUAGAAGGUUUACUACACCAGUGAGGAGAAGAUGAGCGUAUGGGGGAUUGGCUGGCUGAGGGCGAAAUCAAGGCUGGAGCCAAGUGCGCUGAGCUCUCACGUGAGGUCCUUUGCUCCUGUUCCCUGGAGGC
Molecule: long non-coding RNA, 557 nt
Filed under: Pongo abelii (Sumatran orangutan)
Lineage: Eukaryota; Metazoa; Chordata; Mammalia; Primates; Hominidae
Description: lincRNA
Source: RNAcentral